CCUUCGCGACUUGUUUCAGGUGCUCUGUGGGCUUUGGCCUGGCAGGGUGAAACAGGGAAGCCGGUGGGCACGUCAAUCGCGUGCGAGUCCGGCGCUGCCCCCGCAACGGUAGGUGAGUCAAGGCCGCGCAUGGCCACUGGGUGAUCAGGCCCGGGAAGGCGCGCGACCCUGGGUGUUCAUGACCCCGCUCACAAGCCCGGAGACCGGCCUGUAACAGCCAACGGCA
RNAcentral lists this non-coding RNA (226 nucleotides) under Pseudomonas sp. Lineage: Bacteria; Pseudomonadati; Pseudomonadota; Gammaproteobacteria; Pseudomonadales; Pseudomonadaceae. The record is from RNAcentral.